GGAAAGUUGCAAAGAUCUUUGAAGAGAGAGUUCAAGAGAACGUGAAAUCGUUAAAGUGGAACCGGAGAGAGUUAACAUAACUUGGUAGCUAUAUUCUCUAAAGUCGCUUAACUGUGGCUCUGGGGGGUGGACGCUACCUGUUGUUGCACUGACUGCGUUGAUUGUGCUUUCCGAACAGUAUAGUGUUGCCCACUUUGUGGUGUCUUGCUUUCUGGGAGGUUUGUCAUGAUUAACGUAAAGCCAAUUCCCUUUGGAGUCAGUGUGAAAGUUAACCACCUUUCCGACCCGUCUUGAAACACGGACCGAGGAGUGUAAUUUAUACGCGAGUCAAGGGGUGGUGAAAACCCUAGGGGCGGAAUGAAAGUAAAGGCCGGUUAACCGGUUGACAUGGGAUCCGCUCUUCGGAGCGGCGCACCAUGGCCCUGUCUUGUCUGCUUGCAGAUGGGCAGCGGUAGAGCGUAUAGUUUGCGACCCGAAA
Molecule: ribosomal RNA, 478 nt
Filed under: Heterorhabditis sp. HBa78
Lineage: Eukaryota; Metazoa; Nematoda; Chromadorea; Rhabditida; Heterorhabditidae
Description: eukaryotic LSU rRNA
Rfam family: Eukaryotic large subunit ribosomal RNA
Source: RNAcentral